CUGGAUUUACAGCUCAGUGGCAGAGCACUUGCCUAACAUGCACAAGGUGCUGGGUUCAAUUCCCAGCAUCAGA
This 73-nucleotide transfer RNA is filed under the name Marmota monax (woodchuck). Its description in RNAcentral is "tRNA.Val". The stretch from base 11 to 66 matches the Rfam family "tRNA", at positions 9 to 63 of the family's 71-position model. From Rfam's summary of the family: Transfer RNA (tRNA) molecules are approximately 80 nucleotides in length. Their secondary structure includes four short double-helical elements and three loops (D, anti-codon, and T loops). The record is from RNAcentral. Lineage: Eukaryota; Metazoa; Chordata; Mammalia; Rodentia; Sciuridae.